RNAcentral lists this ribosomal RNA (490 nucleotides) under uncultured bacterium. RNAcentral's name for it is "partial 16S ribosomal RNA". It matches the Rfam family "Bacterial small subunit ribosomal RNA", at positions 30 to 507 of the family's 1533-position model. The record is from RNAcentral.
AUUGAAUGCUGGCGGCAGGCCUAACACAUGCAAGUCGAACGGUAACAGGAAGAAGCUUGCUUCUUUGCUGACGAGUGGCGGACGGGUGAGUAAUGUCUGGGAAACUGCCUGAUGGAGGGGGAUAACUACUGGAAACGGUAGCUAAUACCGCAUAACGCCGCAAGACCAAAGAGGGGGACCUUCGGGCCUCUUGCCAUCGGAUGUGCCCAGAUGGGAUUAGCUAGUAGGUGGGGUAACGGCUCACCUAGGCGACGAUCCCUAGCUGGUCUGAGAGGAUGACCAGCCACACUGGAACUGAGACACGGUCCAGACUCCUACGGGAGGCAGCAGUGGGGAAUAUUGCACAAUGGGCGCAAGCCUGGUGCAGCCAUGCCGCGUGUAUGAAGAAGGCCUUCGGGUUGUAAAGUACUUUCAGCGGGGAGGAAGGGAGUAAAGUUAAUACCUUUGCUCAUUGACGUUACCCGCAGAAGAAGCACCGGCUAACUCCGUG